GCCUCGUUAGCGCAGUAGGCAGCGCGACAGUCUCAUAAUCAAAUGUAGAAAUCUGAAGGUCGUGAGAUCCGAUCCUCACACGGGGCA
RNAcentral lists this transfer RNA (87 nucleotides) under Nematostella vectensis (starlet sea anemone). It matches the Rfam family "tRNA". From Rfam's summary of the family: Transfer RNA (tRNA) molecules are approximately 80 nucleotides in length. Their secondary structure includes four short double-helical elements and three loops (D, anti-codon, and T loops). Further hydrogen bonds mediate the characteristic L-shaped molecular structure. tRNAs have two regions of fundamental functional importance: the anti-codon, which is responsible for specific mRNA codon recognition, and the 3' end, to which the tRNAs corresponding amino acid is attached (by aminoacyl-tRNA synthetases). tRNAs cope with the degeneracy of the genetic code in two manners: having more than one tRNA (with a specific anti-codon) for a particular amino acid; and 'wobble' base-pairing, i.e. permitting non-standard base-pairing at the 3rd anti-codon position. Lineage: Eukaryota; Metazoa; Cnidaria; Anthozoa; Actiniaria; Edwardsiidae. The record is from Rfam by way of RNAcentral.